GCCGSGAUAGCUCAGUUGGUAGAGCASAGGACUGAAAAUCCUCGUGUCACCAG
RNAcentral lists this transfer RNA (53 nucleotides) under Pellia neesiana. RNAcentral's name for it is "partial tRNA-Phe". It matches the Rfam family "tRNA", at positions 1 to 51 of the family's 71-position model. Rfam says of the family: Transfer RNA (tRNA) molecules are approximately 80 nucleotides in length. Their secondary structure includes four short double-helical elements and three loops (D, anti-codon, and T loops). The record is from RNAcentral. Lineage: Eukaryota; Viridiplantae; Streptophyta; Jungermanniopsida; Pelliales; Pelliaceae.